Molecule: ribosomal RNA, 505 nt
Filed under: uncultured bacterium
Lineage: Bacteria
Description: partial 16S ribosomal RNA
Rfam family: Bacterial small subunit ribosomal RNA
Source: RNAcentral
GACGAACGCUGGCGGCGUGCCUAAUACAUGCGAGUAGAACGCACAGUUUAUACCGUAGCUUGCUACACCAUAGACUGUGAGUUGCGAACGGGUGAGUAACGCGUAGGUAACCUGCCUGGUAGCGGUGGAUAACUAUUGGAAACGAUAGCUAAUACCGCAUAAUAUUAAUUUUUGCAUGAUAAUUAAUUGAAAGGUGCAAUUGCACCACUACCAGAUGGACCUGCGUUGUAUUAGCUAGUAGGUGAGGUAACGGCUCACCUAGGCGACGAUACAUAGCCGACCUGAGAGGGUGAUCGGCCACACUGGGACUGAGACACGGCCCAGACUCCUACGGGAGGCAGCAGUAGGGAAUCUUCGGCAAUGGACGAAAGUCUGACCGAGCAACGCCGCGUGAGUGAAGAAGGUUUUCGGAUCGUAAAGCUCUGUUGUAAGAGAAGAACGGGUGUGAGAGUGGAAAGUUCACACUGUGACGGUAUCUUACCAGAAAGGGACGGCUAACUACGUG